Molecule: long non-coding RNA, 1857 nt
Filed under: Papio anubis (olive baboon)
Lineage: Eukaryota; Metazoa; Chordata; Mammalia; Primates; Cercopithecidae
Description: lncRNA (ENSPANG00000049419.1)
Source: RNAcentral
GAUCCUAUCACUGAUACAAGUACAGGACUUUUCCCAUAGCAUUAAAACAUAUUUCUUUUUCAAAAGGCACAAUUGCUGCAGACCGCUGUGAAUCUUCUGCCAAUAUAUUUUAGCUCAAUAUAUUAGGUAUCUAGAAACUAUUCUGUUCUAAAUUUAUUAUGGAACAAGACCUUCUGGUAAAGGUGAAAUAAACAUGUAGAUUUCCAAAUAUCUCCAUGAACUUUUCAGAUAAAGCAACAAAAUAAAUUAUAUAUUAUUUGUCAGCCCUUAGAAGAUGGAGUUUCUGUUAAAUUUAAUUACUCCAGCCUAGCUUUAAAUCAUGAAAGACUUUCGAUGAAGGUGGCUCCCACUAAAUGGAACAAAUUUCCCUAAGUGCUUGCUGGGUAAAAGAAUGUUGACCAGGUGAGUGUGGCUAGAAACUGAAAGCUUUGAAAUAAAGUGGCUGCAUGUGGAAGAUUUGCUUAUUUAUUGAUUUAAUUCCUGAGGUUGGUGAUUUAAUUCCAUGGGUUUUCUUCCUACUUUAUAUUCUGAAUUAAAACAGAGAUUUAUUAUUUCCUUCUAAUUCAAAACCAAAGCAGGCAAAACCAAUCAGGAUGACUUUGAUUUACCCCUAAUUUUUCAGGAAACUGAAACUGAAGGCUCUACUCAGCUGCUGUUUAGUCAGCGUUGCACAUACAACUCCAUCAAAGGACAUAAACCAACCAACCCACGAGUUAAUACAUAUCCACUACCACAGAACAUAUAAAAUACACCUAAUAAAACUGGAUAGGAAGAGUUCCGAGAAAGCCUCUUCCUGCAUUUGCUGUGUUUCAAAUGUCCUCCACUCAGAGUAAUCCAUAUAUGAAGGCAGCAUAUGUUAGAGGGCAUGUACUGAUCAUCUUCAACUUGCUCCUCAGACAAAAACAGAUGAAAAUGUCAUAUUAGUUAAGGUCACACAGUCAGAAGUCCAAAAUCAAGGUGUCCACUGGGUUGGUUCCUUCUGAGGGCCCUGCUGGAGAAUCUGAUUCGUGCUUCUCUCCUAGCUUCUGGUGGUUGCUUGCAAUCUUUGGAGUUCCUGGUUUGUAGCUGCAUCACUCCAAUAUCUACCUCCAUCUUCACAUGGCACUCUCUUUUGUGUGUAUGUAUCUCUUCUGUGUCUAUCUCCAAAUCUUUAUAAGGACACUACCAUGGAGGAUUAGGGCCUACUGUAAUCUAGGAUGACCUCAUUUUAACUUGAUUGCAUAUGUAAAAAUGCUACUUCCAAAUAGUGUUCAUAGGUACAGAUGUUAGGAUUUCAAAAUAUAUUUUCAAGAGAUGCAAUUCAAACCACAUAAGCCAAUAUAUUAAUUAUGCUUUAAAACAUGCUGUGCCAUAGUUUCUACUAAUUGCAGCUGAAUAUAUUCCAUUCCAGACUCCCUUUCUUACCCUGCCUUCCAAAUUUGGGGUGCUUUAUAUUCUCUUAGAAAACUUGGCCUUUGCCAUCAUAGUACUUAAUUAACUGUGUGCUCGUUAUUUUGAUUUGUGAUUUUUAUUAGUCUUAGCAUGUACUUGGAGAAUUCCUUUUGCCUAUCCUGAUCACAAUUCUAUCUACAACACUUAGUAGAAAACGUGACUUAUAUACUUCAUGAUUUAUAAGUAUUUUCUGAAUAAAUAAAUUAAAUAGAAUUUAAGAAAUAUUUAAAAGUAAGAAGUGCCUUUAAAUAAUACCACUACCCAUGGGAAAAUACUGUUAAUAUAUAUUGCGCAAAUCCUAGCACUUUUAUGCAAAGUUUUUUAUUCCAUAAUUGUCAUAUUAAUUAUAAAAGUAAUAAUACAAAUUUUUAAUGUUAUUGCAGGUCUUCACAAGCUUUAAAAAAUUAUGUAAAUUCCAUUGAGUGA